AGAGAAGGCUGGGCCAAAUUUUGGCUGCUAACUAAAAUUUAGGCAGUUCGAUUCUGUUUUUCUUUU
This 66-nucleotide transfer RNA is filed under the name Acanthochitona mahensis. RNAcentral's name for it is "tRNA-Ser". Lineage: Eukaryota; Metazoa; Mollusca; Polyplacophora; Chitonida; Acanthochitonidae. The record is from RNAcentral.